GCGGGGAUUAGUGGCGAACGGGUGAGUAACACGUGGGCAAUCUGCCCUGCACUCCGGGACAAGCCCUGGAAACGGGGUCUAAUACCGGAUACGACACCGGGAGGCAUCUCCUCGGUGUGGAAAGCUCCGUAUACGCGGUGCAGGAUGGGCCCGCGGCCUAUCAGCUGGUUGGUGAGGUAACGGCUCACCAAGGCGACGACGGGUAGCCGGCCUGAGAGGGCGACCGGCCACACUGGGACUGAGACACGGCCCAGACUCCUACGGGAGGCAGCAGUGGGGAAUAUUGCACAAUGGGCGCAAGCCUGAUGCAGCGACGCCGCGUGAGGGAUGACGGCCUUCGGGUUGUAAACCUCUUUCAGCAGGGAAGAAGCGCAAGUGACGGUACCUGCAGAAGAAGCGCCGGCUAACUACGUGCCAGCAGCCGCGGUAAUACGUAGGGCGCGAGCGUUGUCCGGAAUUAUUGGGCGUAAAGAGCUCGUAGGCGGCCUGUCGCGUCGGUUGUGAAAGCCCGUUUGGGCUCAACCCCGGGUCUGCAGUCGAUACGGGCAGGCUAGAGUUCGGUAGGGGAGAUCGGAAUUCCUGGUGUAGCGGUGAAAUGCGCAGUAUAUCAGGAGGAACACCGGUGGCGAAGGCGGAUCUCUGGGCCGUACACUGACGCUGAGGAGCGAAAGCGUGGCGGAGCGAACAGGAUUAGAUACCCUGGUAGUCCACGCCGUAAACGGAUUGGGCACUAGGUGUGGGCGGCAUUCCACGUCGUCCGCGCCGCAGCUAAUCGCAUUAAGUGCCCCGCCUGGGUGAGUACGGCCGCAAGGCUAAAACUCAAAGCCCGUCAAUUGACGGGGGCCCGCACAAGCAGCGGAGCAUGUGGCCCAACCCC
Molecule: ribosomal RNA, 877 nt
Filed under: Streptomyces sp. FMA_62
Lineage: Bacteria; Bacillati; Actinomycetota; Actinomycetes; Kitasatosporales; Streptomycetaceae
Description: bacterial SSU rRNA
Rfam family: Bacterial small subunit ribosomal RNA
Source: RNAcentral